Molecule: ribosomal RNA, 465 nt
Filed under: uncultured bacterium
Lineage: Bacteria
Description: partial 16S ribosomal RNA
Rfam family: Bacterial small subunit ribosomal RNA
Source: RNAcentral
CCUACGGGAGGCUGCAGUAGGGAAUCUUCCACAAUGGGCGAAAGCCUGAUGGAGCAACGCCGCGUGGGUGAAGAAGGUCUUCGGAUCGUAAAACCCUGUUGAUAGAGAAGAAAGUGCGUGAGAGUAACUGUUCACGUUUCGACGGUAUCUAACCAGAAAGCCACGGCUAACUACGUGCCAGCAGCCGCGGUAAUACGUAGGUGGCAAGCGUUAUCCGGAUUGAUUGGGCGUAAAGGGAACGCAGGCGGUCUUUUAAGUCUGAUGUGAAAGCCUUCGGCUUAACCGGAGUAGUGCAUUGGAAACUGGGAGACUUGAGGGCAGAAGAGGAGAGUGGAACUCCAUGUGUAGCGGUGAAAUGCGUAGAUAUAUGGAAGAACACCAGUGGCGAAAGCGGCUCUCUGGUCUGUAACUGACGCUGAGGUUCGAAAGCGUGGGUAGCAAACAGGAUUAGAUACCCGGGUAGUC